RNAcentral lists this ribosomal RNA (611 nucleotides) under uncultured bacterium. RNAcentral describes it as "bacterial SSU rRNA". It matches the Rfam family "Bacterial small subunit ribosomal RNA", at positions 97 to 741 of the family's 1533-position model. The record is from RNAcentral.
GGCGGACGGGUGAGUAACGCGUGAGAAUCUGCCUUCAGGAUGGGGACAACAGUUGGAAACGACUGCUAAUACCCGAUAUGACGAAAGUUGAAAGAUUUAUCGCCUGGAGAUGAGCUCGCGUCAGAUUAGCUAGAUGGUGUGGUAACGGCGCACCAUGGCGACGAUCUGUAGCUGGUCUGAGAGGAUGAGCAGCCACACUGGGACUGAGACACGGCCCAGACUCCUACGGGAGGCAGCAGUGGGGAAUUUUCCGCAAUGGGCGCAAGCCUGACGGAGCAAUACCGCGUGAGGGAGGAAGGCUCUUGGGUCGUAAACCUCUUUUCUCAGGGAAGAACAAAAUGACGGUACCUGAGGAAUCAGCAUCGGCUAACUCCGUGCCAGCAGCCGCGGUAAUACGGAGGAUGCAAGCGUUAUCCGGAAUGAUUGGGCGUAAAGCGUCCGUAGGUGGUCAUGUAAGUCUGUGGUUAAAGCGUGGGGCUCAACCCCAUAAAGGCCAUGGAAACUACACGACUAGAGUCAAGUAGGGGUAGAGGGAAUUCCCAGUGUAGCGGUGAAAUGCGUAGAGAUUGGGAAGAACACCGGUGGCGAAAGCGCUCUACUGGACUUAAACU